RNAcentral lists this ribosomal RNA (432 nucleotides) under Triticum aestivum (bread wheat). Its description in RNAcentral is "partial small subunit ribosomal RNA". The record is from RNAcentral. Lineage: Eukaryota; Viridiplantae; Streptophyta; Magnoliopsida; Poales; Poaceae.
GUGGUCGGUCCUUGGGUCAGUGAGGAUGAGCAGGCGUGGCUCGCUGAAGGAGGUCUGCAUCUGGUUGGUGAAGGUACCAGGGGUGUGCCUCCCGGCGAUGGCGUUGGCGCUGGUGUGCUGCGCGAACUUGAGGACGGCGCGCUGGCCGUAGGGGCGGGCGGACUGGACGAUGAUGUCCUGGGGGUUCUCGAUGGCCACGAUGACCCUUGCCGCGAGCUGGAGCUUCUCCCACGUCUUGCCCAGAUUGAUGAUGUAGGUACCAUCGGAGCGGCACUUGUAGGCGUAGCGCUCCAUCUGGAAGUCGCAUUUCUUGUUGCCGAGGUGGACGUCAGCGGCGAGCAUCAUAUGUAUGUCCUGCUCCUUCUACGACAGCACCCGCGGGGCCUCUCCAGCCGCCGCCGCCAUGGCUGGUCGGAUCUGGCCACGACAUGA